This 71-nucleotide transfer RNA is filed under the name Loxodonta africana (African savanna elephant). It matches the Rfam family "tRNA". From Rfam's summary of the family: Transfer RNA (tRNA) molecules are approximately 80 nucleotides in length. Their secondary structure includes four short double-helical elements and three loops (D, anti-codon, and T loops). The record is from Rfam by way of RNAcentral. Lineage: Eukaryota; Metazoa; Chordata; Mammalia; Proboscidea; Elephantidae.
GCAGUGGUGGCUCAGUGGUAGAAUUCUUGCCUUCCACGCAGAAGACCCGGGUUUGGUUCUUGGCCAGUGUA